GACGAACGCUGGCGGCGUGCCUAAUACAUGCAAGUGGGGACGCAAGGGAACACACUGUGCUUGCACACCGUGUUUUCUUGAGUCGCGAACGGGUGAGUAACGCGUAGGUAACCUGCCUAUUAGCGGGGGAUAACUAUUGGAAACGAUAGCUAAUACCGCAUAAUAUUAAUUAUUGCAUGAUAAUUGAUUGAAAGAUGCAAGCGCAUCACUAGUAGAUGGACCUGCGUUGUAUUAGCUAGUUGGUAAGGUAAGAGCUUACCAAGGCGACGAUACAUAGCCGACCUGAGAGGGUGAUCGGCCACACUGGGACUGAGACACGGCCCAGACUCCUACGGGAGGCAGCAGUAGGGAAUCUUCGGCAAUGGACGAAAGUCUGACCGAGCAACGCCGCGUGAGUGAAGAAGGUUUUCGGAUCGUAAAGCUCUGCUGUAAGUCAAGA
This 439-nucleotide ribosomal RNA is filed under the name Streptococcus mutans. Its description in RNAcentral is "bacterial SSU rRNA". It matches the Rfam family "Bacterial small subunit ribosomal RNA", at positions 28 to 448 of the family's 1533-position model. Lineage: Bacteria; Bacillati; Bacillota; Bacilli; Lactobacillales; Streptococcaceae. The record is from RNAcentral.